This 253-nucleotide ribosomal RNA is filed under the name uncultured bacterium. RNAcentral's name for it is "partial 16S ribosomal RNA". It matches the Rfam family "Bacterial small subunit ribosomal RNA", at positions 524 to 776 of the family's 1533-position model. The record is from RNAcentral.
UACGUAGGGUGCAAGCGUUGUCCGGAAUUAUUGGGCGUAAAGAGCUCGUAGGCGGUUCGUCGCGUCGGCUGUGAAAUCCCGAGGCUCAACCUCGGGUCUGCAGUCAAUACGGGCGGACUGGAGUUCGGCAGGGGAGACUGGAAUUCCUGGUGUAGCGGUGAAAUGCGCAGAUAUCAGGAGGAACACCGGUGGCGAAGGCGGGUCUCUGGGCCGAUACUGACGCUGAGGAGCGAAAGCGUGGGGAGCAAACAGG